CCGAGUUUUCAACUCCCAAACCCCUGUGAACAUACCUCUUGUUGCUUCGGCGGACCGCGCUGCUCGUCAGUGCGCCCGCCGGAGGCCAAAAAACCAACGUGUAUUAUGUUUUCUUCUGAGUUAAACAAGCAAAUAAAUCA
RNAcentral lists this unclassified non-coding RNA (140 nucleotides) under uncultured Sordariomycetes. RNAcentral's name for it is "sequence contains ITS1". The record is from RNAcentral. Lineage: Eukaryota; Fungi; Ascomycota; Sordariomycetes.